Molecule: transfer RNA, 82 nt
Filed under: Phycisphaerae bacterium
Lineage: Bacteria; Pseudomonadati; Planctomycetota; Phycisphaerae
Also listed under: 3 other names
Description: tRNA-Leu
Rfam family: tRNA
About the family: Transfer RNA (tRNA) molecules are approximately 80 nucleotides in length. Their secondary structure includes four short double-helical elements and three loops (D, anti-codon, and T loops).
Source: RNAcentral
GCUCGGGUGGCGGAACUGGCAGACGCGCCGGAUUUAGGUUCCGGUUCCGAAAGGAGUGCAGGUUCGAUUCCUGUCCCGAGCA